GAUGAACGCUGGCGGCGUGCCUAAUACAUGCAAGUCGAGCGAACAGACGAGGAGCUUGCUCCUCUGACGUUAGCGGCGGACGGGUGAGUAACACGUGGAUAACCUACCUAUAAGACUGGGAUAACUUCGGGAAACCGGAGCUAAUACCGGAUAAUAUAUUGAACCGCAUGGUUCAAUAGUGAAAGACGGUUUUGCUGUCACUUAUAGAUGGAUCCGCGCCGCAUUAGCUAGUUGGUAAGGUAACGGCUUACCAAGGCAACGAUGCGUAGCCGACCUGAGAGGGUGAUCGGCCACACUGGAACUGAGACACGGUCAAGACUCCUACGGGAGGCAGCAGUAGGGAAUCUUCCGCAAUGGGCGAAAGCCUGACGGAGCAACGCCGCGUGAGUGAUGAAGGUCUUCGGAUCGUAAAACUCUGUUAUUAGGGAAGAACAAAUGUGUAAGUAACUAUGCACGUCUUGACGGUACCUAAUCAGAAAGCCACGGCUAACUGCGUG
This 497-nucleotide ribosomal RNA is filed under the name uncultured bacterium. Its description in RNAcentral is "partial 16S ribosomal RNA". It matches the Rfam family "Bacterial small subunit ribosomal RNA", at positions 28 to 507 of the family's 1533-position model. The record is from RNAcentral.